UAUUUGCAUAUCUUGCAGGGGGCAGUAAUUCUCCAUAGGUCAGAGACUUCACAGGAGUCAUGAUUGGAGUCCAGAGGCCAAAGGACUGCCCAGCCCACAGAGCAGAUGAUUGGAUUCACCAAAGAUGACCAGCAGCGAGCACAGCCACAUGAGGACUUGGUCCAGCUACCAUCUGGGAUCUGAAUAAAGAUGCUUCCCUAUGAUCCUGCUCAUCCUCUUGCUUAUAAUAAUACAAAAAGGAAACACUGAAAAUACCCAAAAAGGGAAGAUUUAAAAAAUAAAUGGUAUAUCAAAACUUUGUGGAAUGAGAAGCAACUAUUAAAAUGAUUCUGUAGAAGAUGCUUUCAUAGCAAAAUAAGAUACUUAGGACAUACUGUUAAGAGCAAAGGAGCCAUAGAAUGCACUUUAUCUGUACCACACUGCCUGCCUUGCCAGGCAGUAUCGGAAAGGUGUUGGAGCAGAAAACACCAAAGCAUUGGGGUAACUAUAACUGAAAAACAUGGAAUUAA
Molecule: long non-coding RNA, 509 nt
Organism: Dipodomys ordii (Ord's kangaroo rat)
Lineage: Eukaryota; Metazoa; Chordata; Mammalia; Rodentia; Heteromyidae
Exons: 3
Source: RefSeq, a predicted model, not a curated record